GACGAACGCUGGCGGCGUGCUUAACACAUGCAAGUCGAACGGAAAGGCCCUGCUUUUGUGGGGUGCUCGAGUGGCGAACGGGUGAGUAACCCGUGAGUAACCUGCCCUUGACUUUGGGAUAACUUCAGGAAACUGAGGCUAAUACCGGAUAGGAGCUACCGCUGCAUGGUGGGGGCUGGUAAGUUUCGGCGGUUGGGGAUGGACUCGCGGAUUAUCAGGUUGUUGGUGGGGUAGUGUCUUACCAAGGCUUUGACGGGUAGCCGGCCUGGGAGGGUGACCGGACAAACUGGGACGGGAAUACGGCCCGGACUCCUACGGGAGGCAGCAGUGGAGAAGAGUGCACAAUGGGCGGAAGCCUAAUGCAGCAACGCCGCGUGCGGGAUGACGGCCUUCGGGUUGGAAACCGCUUUCGCCUGUGACGAAGCGUGAGUGACGGUAAUGGGUAAAGAAGCACCGGCUAACUACGUG
This 468-nucleotide ribosomal RNA is filed under the name uncultured bacterium. Its description in RNAcentral is "partial 16S ribosomal RNA". It matches the Rfam family "Bacterial small subunit ribosomal RNA", at positions 28 to 507 of the family's 1533-position model. The record is from RNAcentral.